This 108-nucleotide small nucleolar RNA is filed under the name Drosophila simulans. RNAcentral describes it as "snoRNA:GD26436". Lineage: Eukaryota; Metazoa; Arthropoda; Insecta; Diptera; Drosophilidae. The record is from RNAcentral.
CAGCAAGUGAAGAAAGUUUUACAUAAUUUCAGAAGCAUUAAAAAGACAUUAAGUAGGAACUUAAAAGUUCGCAAAAACUAGAGCAUUUUAUAUUUUAUGACUGAGGAA